This 465-nucleotide ribosomal RNA is filed under the name Vreelandella stevensii. RNAcentral's name for it is "partial 16S ribosomal RNA". It matches the Rfam family "Bacterial small subunit ribosomal RNA", at positions 338 to 795 of the family's 1533-position model. Lineage: Bacteria; Pseudomonadati; Pseudomonadota; Gammaproteobacteria; Oceanospirillales; Halomonadaceae. The record is from RNAcentral.
CCUACGGGUGGCAGCGGUGGGGAAUAUUGGACAAUGGGCGAAAGCCUGAUCCAGCCAUGCCGCGUGUGUGAAGAAGGCCUUCGGGUUGUAAAGCACUUUCAGUGGGGAAGAAAGCCUUGGGGCUAAUACCCUCGAGGAAGGACAUCACCCACAGAAGAAGCACCGGCUAACUCCGUGCCAGCAGCCGCGGUAAUACGGAGGGUGCGAGCGUUAAUCGGAAUUACUGGGCGUAAAGCGCGCGUAGGCGGUCUGAUAAGCCGGUUGUGAAAGCCCCGGGCUCAACCUGGGAACGGCAUCCGGAACUGUCAGGCUAGAGUGCAGGAGAGGAAGGUAGAAUUCCCGGUGUAGCGGUGAAAUGCGUAGAGAUCGGGAGGAAUACCAGUGGCGAAGGCGGCCUUCUGGACUGACACUGACGCUGAGGUGCGAAAGCGUGGGUAGCAAACAGGAUUAGAUACCCUAGUAGUC